AUGCCGCAGGUGAUGGCUAUUCCCCUCCUGAGGAUGCACCAGUCGGGGAGGAGACCCUUGCUCAUGGAAUUACUGCGGCUAAGGAGGUUCAGUAGGUUUCAUGCUUCCUGGACUUUCCAAAAAGGAUGUUUGCUGAUGGAAUGGCUUACCAGAAGAGGAAGAUUCUGUAAAAAUUCAGUUCCCUUGUAUGUUCCCAGCCUCUGGCAGGAGUUGGGGAUAAAAUUGAGCCCGUGGCACAAUGGGGAGGUAGGACACCGACUGAGACCACUCCAGCACUCACCACGUGUGCCCAGGCCCGGGGCUGCGAGGGACACGGAGACAUCAAGACAUGGCCCCAGCCUCCAGGAGUGUGUGGUCUAGGGGGAGAGAAGAGACCCUAAACACACCAGCAGCACAAGGGUGGUGGGAGCACCGGGGGGCCUAACAAGCAGGAACAGCGAUGUGCAC
This 447-nucleotide long non-coding RNA is filed under the name Rhinopithecus bieti (black snub-nosed monkey). RNAcentral's name for it is "lncRNA (ENSRBIG00000045509.1)". The record is from RNAcentral. Lineage: Eukaryota; Metazoa; Chordata; Mammalia; Primates; Cercopithecidae.